Long non-coding RNA from Heterocephalus glaber (naked mole-rat), 1663 nucleotides. Lineage: Eukaryota; Metazoa; Chordata; Mammalia; Rodentia; Bathyergidae. The record is from Ensembl.
CCUGCCUACUUCCUGUUUGCCUCUUGGCGUUCCUCUCACCCACUUCCUCCCCUUUCACACCUUAACCAUGGAGUGGAGGACAAAGCUGGGUAAUGUCUGUCUCCAUCUAUUGUUCCUCCUUCCUGAGUUACCCCCUGCUACCUAACAGAUGCCUGUUUGUCUUUGGAAACUUUCUCAUAAGCUUCAGCUUUCUGUGGAGACUUCAGUCCAUCUUGCAUUCUUCGUCCCACUCUCAUAAAGUUAAUCAUUUACUUGGAGUUGCCUCUGCAUCUGGUACAUGCAUUCAUUAUUGUCUUUCUUCCCAUCUGUUACUAUUUGCUUGUACAUCUGAUAAGUAGCAUCCACUCAACACUAUGUCAGACAUUGUUCUAAGCAUGUAUAUUAACUCAUUUGAUUUCCGUAACUCUAGGAGGUAGAUACUGUUAUUGUCCCUCUUCACCCCUUUAUCUUUACAACUGUUAAUAUUGUCUUCACAAUAUCUACCUGCUUCACAACAAUCCUCUUAUGGUAUUAGUCUUAUUAGUAUCCCUAUUUUACAGAUGAGAAAACUGAGACAGAGUGGUUAAAUAACUUGCCCACUACAAUAGCUAGAAAGUAGCUGAGCAGAGAUUCAAACCCAGACAGCCUGGCUCCGGAGCUUGGCUCUUCGUCACACAGUGUACUUUCUGCAAAUACAAUAGGGACUCUCAGGAGACAGCAAGGAUAUGUUCUGCUUGGAGAAGAGUGAGCCUCAUGCCAGUCACAAAAGACUGCAUUGACCAAAGGCAUUGAAGCUCAAGUUGAGAACACAGAAUGACAAAGCCAUGGGUGAAGACCUUUGUUCUGCCUGACAAAAGAGAAGUGUAAAAAUCGGACAUCUACAAUCCCCCGAGAUGCACCCUCCUUCUAUCUUCUCUCUGCAGCCUCUGCAAAUUCUGCUCUUUUCUCUUCCUGAGGCCAUCGCUUUCCACUGAUUUUUAGCUGGAUAGGAGAAGAGGAAGGGAUCGCUGUUGUGUUUCGGUUGGCAGCUCCCUGUGAGGGUCACGGUGAGCAGCGCUGUGGAGGAGCCGCCCGCAGUCAGAGCCAAGUCUGCUCAGCCGCGGCCCCUCCCCGCGCGUCAGAGCGCGGGAUGACGCAAGCAGGGACGCCCUUUUCAGUUUUUUCUUUAUGAUACUGGGGAUUGAACACAAGUCCUUUGCACUGAACUACAUCCCUAGACCUUUUAUUUAUUUAUUUAUUUUUGAGAUAGGAUCUCAUUAAAUUGCUAAGUUGGCUAGGCUGGGCUCAAACUUGCAAUCCUCCUGCCUCAGCCUCCUAGAAUGCUGGAACUAUAAGCAUGCACCACCACAUCUGGCUGUAUGAUUUCCUUUUUCUUUUCUUUUUGGUACCAGGGAUCGAACUCAGGACCUUGGGCUUGCGAGGCAGCCAAGGUGCCACUGAGCUAAAUCCCCGGCCCUUUUCUUUUCUUUUUCCUUUUUUUCUUUUGAGACAGAAUCUCACUAUGUAGUCUGGACUAGGCUCAAACUCACUAUGUAGACCAGGUUGGCCUCGAACUCAUGGCAGUCCUCCUGCCGCAGCCUCCCAAGUGCUGGGAUUAUAGGCGAGUGCCACCACACUAGGCUAUAUGAUUUCUUAUAGCUGUGAAUGUACAGGUUUAAUGACUGUCACAUGUUCUGGUUCUGCC